Molecule: long non-coding RNA, 1503 nt
Organism: Scomber japonicus (chub mackerel)
Lineage: Eukaryota; Metazoa; Chordata; Actinopteri; Scombriformes; Scombridae
Exons: 2
Source: RefSeq, a predicted model, not a curated record
GCAUGCUAACCUGCUAACCCUGGCCCGUCCUGUUUCGGAAUUAACACGUACCUCAAGAAGUGAUAGUGAGUCACUGUAGUAACAUUAAAAGCACUUUCUCUAGGUUAGAUUUAUUCAAGCUAAUGUUAGCUUAACGUUAACACUGUAUUGAUAUUUAAUGUCUUAUUUACCUAAGGACACUCGAUUUUCUGGUGAUAUCCUACCUCCUGGAGUGUUGAGUAUGAAUUUGACAAUUUCUUACAUAUUGCGCCUUUAACAGUGUUUUUUCUGUACUUUUUUUUGGUUUGUUUUAACUUUACAUUUUAGCAGCCUAGCAUCACUCCAGCAAGCAAGGUAAGCGGUAACAUAGCACUGAUUUAUUUACUUAACACAAGUUUAUCAGCGUGAUACAGAUGAAGUGCUGCUCUCUUUUUACCCGUUCAGAGUGUUUGAGGUCUUGUAGUACACACAUACAGUAACAAACUGGCUUUGAGAGAUGAAGUGACCUAUCACACCCUGUAUCCUUCCGCCAAUGCAGUUCAUUACUGUCUGCAAAGAGAGGAAUCUCCUUCAUGUAAUCUUGCAUCUCCUCAAUUGUGUUCCUUGUUUUUAGAGCCUCCUCUGCUGGAGCACAAGUCAAACUACUUCAGAAAGUCUUAAGCACGUAUAGACAGUAUCAAUUCUGAAUUCAAACAAGUUAUUACAGUUUGGAUAUUGCAUUUUUUCCCACGUUUAAACAAAUGAUGAAUAAAAACGACCUCACUCAGCCUCAUUCAGAACAAGUCAGCAGUCACAUGACUGACUUUACCUAGUUUCUUAAGUGACUGUUGAAUACUUUGUGAUGAGAAGUGGCACAAUGAAAUGAAACAAUCACUGAGGGAAUGGCUGUUUUCAAAGCACACUUUGGAAGAAACUGAACACUUUGGGUCUCCACAGUAUGAGCUGCUUUUUUUUUUCUUUUCUUUUUUUUGUAAAAGGAAGACUUCCAUUUUUCUGCUUUUGUUUGCAGGUCUCUCCUGCUCACAGCAGUGGAAAACUGGUCCGACUCAUAAUGUCUUCCUACCUUCCUUCAUUAGCACUGGAUGUAGAGUGUGUACAUGUUUGAUGCUGGCUCAUGAUAAACAGCAGUCUGUAAUGACACUGUAACUAUACAGUGACAAAGUAUAAACUGUUUGAAAUCACGGUAUAAUGUAAGAUAAGUGCACACAGCUCUGGGUUUUUGUCUCAAAUCUAUCAAAUUCGCUGCGGUCUAAUAAAAUAUGCAGCUGGACAGCAGGAACAGCUGUUGAUUGUGUUUAGUUUUGUAUAUUUAUUUACUUAAACAAUUAAAGAGUGGUAUACUCAGUGCUGUGAAAGGAUUCUACAACUCUUUGGAUAAUUGACAUUUUUCAUAUGUGUAUUCAAUGAUAAUGAUUGAGUGGACUACAGCUAAUGUUUGUGAUUAUUGCUGCAUUUUUCUUUUGUGUCUUAUUUUCUUUCUGCUUAACUGAUGAAUAGUUGAGAAUAAAAACAUUGAUUGCUGAA